This 406-nucleotide ribosomal RNA is filed under the name uncultured bacterium. RNAcentral's name for it is "partial 16S ribosomal RNA". It matches the Rfam family "Bacterial small subunit ribosomal RNA", at positions 30 to 526 of the family's 1533-position model. The record is from RNAcentral.
AUCGAACGCUGGCGGCAGGCCUAACACAUGCAAGUCGAACGAGUGGCGGACGGGUGAGUAAUGUCCGGGCAACUGCCUGGUGGAGGGGGAUAAAUACUGGAAACGGUAGCUAAUACCGCAUACCAUCGGAUGUGCCCAGAUGGGAUUAGCUAGGAGGUGGGGUAACGGCUCCCCUAGGCGACGAUCCCUAGCUGGUCUGAGAGGAUGACCAGCCACACUGGAACUGAGACACGGUCCAGACUCCUACUGGAGGCAGCAGUGGGGAAUAUUGCACAAUGGGCGCAAGCCUGAUGCAGCCAUGCCGCGUGUAUGAAGAAGGCCUUCGGGUUGUAAAGUACUUUCAGCGGGGAGGCGUUACCCGCAGAAGAAGCACCGGCUAACUCCGUGCCAGCAGCCGCGGUAAUUC